UAAAAAGUAAAGCUAUAAAUACAAAGUGGUUCACCCUAUUAUGAAUGACAACAUGCAACUUCUAUAUUCAUGCCAGUAGAACAUCCGAACUAAUAACAAAGCACGCAUGCCUUUGUUUUUAGCAAGCAGUAAUAGUUCCACGUAGCAGCUUGUUCACAUCAAAUGAUGAACAGAUUAACACAGACGGGUGUAGUAUACCUUAAUUCUUAUGCUGCAGCCUCCCACUUUCUGCACCGGCAUAGGGAUCAAUGGUAACAUUUAUUACAGUUGGCUUUCUUGCAGAAAAAGAUUCAGCAAGGGCAGACUUAAGUUCAUCAGGUGUCCCAACUAGAUAACCUUUGCCCCCAAAAGCUUCAAUAACAAUGUGAUAAGCAGCGCCAGGGACAAAAGAAGUGGGUGCUGGAUCA
This 407-nucleotide unclassified non-coding RNA is filed under the name Hevea brasiliensis (rubber tree). The record is from RNAcentral. Lineage: Eukaryota; Viridiplantae; Streptophyta; Magnoliopsida; Malpighiales; Euphorbiaceae.